This 191-nucleotide ribosomal RNA is filed under the name Bacillus sp. CH30_1T. RNAcentral's name for it is "partial 16S ribosomal RNA". It matches the Rfam family "Bacterial small subunit ribosomal RNA", at positions 1351 to 1533 of the family's 1533-position model. Lineage: Bacteria; Bacillati; Bacillota; Bacilli; Caryophanales; Bacillaceae. The record is from RNAcentral.
AGCAUGCCGCGGUGAAUACGUUCCCGGGCCUUGUACACACCGCCCGUCACACCACGAGAGUUUGUAACACCCGAAGUCGGUGAGGUAACCUUUUGGAGCCAGCCGCCUAAGGUGGGACAGAUGAUUGGGGUGAAGUCGUAACAAGGUAGCCGUAUCGGAAGGUGCGGCUGGAUCACCUCCUUUCUAAGGAA